UGACGAGUGGCGGACGGGUGAGUAAUGUCUGGGAAACUGCCUGAUGGAGGGGGAUAACUACUGGAAACGGUGGCUAAUACCGCAUAACGUCGCAAGACCAAAGAGGGGGACCUUCGGGCCUCUUGCCAUCAGAUGUGCCCAGAUGGGAUUAGCUAGUUGGUGAGGUAACGGCUCACCAAGGCGACGAUCCCUAGCUGGUCUGAGAGGAUGACCAGCCACACUGGAACUGAGACACGGUCCAGACUCCUACGGGAGGCAGCAGUGGGGAAUAUUGCACAAUGGGCGCAAGCCUGAUGCAGCCAUGCCGCGUGUAUGAAGAAGGCCUUCGGGUUGUAAAGUACUUUCAGCGGGGAGGAAGGUGUUGUGGUUAAUAACCGCAGCAAUUGACGUUACCCGCAGAAGAAGCACCGGCUAACUCCGUGCCAGCAGCCGCGGUAAUACGGAGGGUGCAAGCGUUAAUCGGAAUUACUGGGCGUAAAGCGCACGCAGGCGGUCUGUCAAGUCGGAUGUGAAAUCCCCGGGCUCAACCUGGGAACUGCAUUCGAAACUGGCAGGCUUGAGUCUUGUAGAGGGGGGUAGAAUUCCAGGUGUAGCGGUGAAAUGCGUAGAGAUCUGGAGGAAUACCGGUGGCGAAGGCGGCCCCCUGGACAAAGACUGACGCUCAGGUGCGAAAGCGUGGGGAGCAAACAGGAUUAGAUACCCUGGUAGUCCACGCCGUAAACGAUGUCUACUUGGAGGUUGUGCCCUUGAGGCGUGGCUUCCGGAGCUAACGCGUUAAGUAGACCGCCUGGGGAGUACGGCCGCAAGGUUAAAACUCAAAUGAAUUGACGGGGGCCCGCACAAGCGGUGGAGCAUGUGGUUUAAUUCGAUGCAACGCGAAGAACCUUACCUGGUCUUGACAUCCACAGAACUUUCCAGAGAUGGAUUGGUGCCUUCGGGAACUGUGAGACAGGUGCUGCAUGGCUGUCGUCAGCUCGUGUUGUGAAAUGUUGGGUUAAGUCCCGCAACGAGCGCAACCCUUAUCCUUUGUUGCCAGCGGUUAGGCCGGGAACUCAAAGGAGACUGCCAGUGAUAAACUGGAGGAAGGUGGGGAUGACGUCAAGUCAUCAUGGCCCUUACGACCAGGGCUACACACGUGCUACAAUGGCGCAUACAAAGAGAAGCGACCUCGCGAGAGCAAGCGGACCUCAUAAAGUGCGUCGUAGUCCGGAUUGGAGUCUGCAACUCGACUCCAUGAAGUCGGAAUCGCUAGUAAUCGUGGAUCAGAAUGCCACGGUGAAUACGUUCCCGGGCCUUGUACACACCGCCCGUCACACCAUGGGAGUGGGUUGCAAAAGAAGUAGGUAGCUUAACCUUCGGGAGGGCGCUUACCACUUUGUGAUUCAUGACUGGGGUGAAGUCGUAACAAGGUAACCGUAGGGGAACCUGCGGUUGGAUCACCUCCUUACCUUAAAGAAGC
Molecule: ribosomal RNA, 1459 nt
Filed under: Salmonella enterica subsp. enterica serovar Bovismorbificans
Lineage: Bacteria; Pseudomonadati; Pseudomonadota; Gammaproteobacteria; Enterobacterales; Enterobacteriaceae
Description: bacterial SSU rRNA
Rfam family: Bacterial small subunit ribosomal RNA
Source: RNAcentral